This 468-nucleotide ribosomal RNA is filed under the name uncultured bacterium. Its description in RNAcentral is "partial 16S ribosomal RNA". It matches the Rfam family "Bacterial small subunit ribosomal RNA", at positions 28 to 507 of the family's 1533-position model. The record is from RNAcentral.
GACGAACGCUGGCGGCGUGCUUAACACAUGCAAGUCGAACGGAAAGGCCCUGCUUUUGUUGGGUGCUCGAGUGGCGAACGGGUUAGUAACACGUGAGUAACCUGCCCUUGACUUUGGGAUAACUUCAGGAAACUGGGGCUAAUACCGGAUAGGAGCUCCUGCUGCAUGGUGGGGGUUGGAAAGUUUCGGCGGUUGGGGAUGGACUCGCGGCUUAUCAGCUUGUUGGUGGGGUAGUGGCUUACCAAGGCUUUGACGGGUAGCCGGCCUGAGAGGGUGACCGGCCACAUUGGGACUGAGAUACGGCCCAGACUCCUACGGGAGGCAGCAGUGGGGAAUAGUGCAAAAUGGGCGGAAGCCUGAUGCAGCAACGCCGCGUGCGGGAUGACGGCCUUAGGGUUGUAAACCGCUUUCGACUGUGACGAAGCGUGAGUGACGGUAAUGGGUAAAGAAGCACCGGCUAACUAAGUG